This 416-nucleotide ribosomal RNA is filed under the name uncultured bacterium. RNAcentral describes it as "bacterial SSU rRNA". It matches the Rfam family "Archaeal small subunit ribosomal RNA", at positions 455 to 871 of the family's 1478-position model. The record is from RNAcentral.
GUGUCAGCAGCCGCGGUAAUACCGGCAGCUCAAGUGGUAGCCGCGAUUAUUGGGCCUAAAACGUUCGUAGCCGGAUAAGUAAGUCUUUGGUUAAAUCCUGCGACUCAACCGUGGGAAUUCUAGAGAUACUGCUUGUCUUGAGACCGGGAGAGGUUGGAGGUACUCCUAGGGUAGGGGUGAAAUCCUGUAAUCCUAGGGGGACCACCUGUGGCGAAGGCGUCCAACUGGAACGGGUCUGACGGUGAGGGACGAAACCUAGGGGAGCGAGCCGGAUUAGAUACCCGGGUAGUCCUAGGCGUAAAUGAUGCGAGUUAAGUGUGGGGGCAUCUACGAGAUGGCCCUGUGCUGUAGGGUAGCCGUUAAACUCGCUGCCUGGGGAGUACGGUCGCAAGGCUGAAACUCAAAGAAAUUGACGG